ACCUGUAGUAAUGACCUUUUGCUGAAUACCAAUCGCCAUGAAAAAGGGUUCCUUGGUUCCCCCCCCCCUCCCAUGAACUGAACCGACAUCAACUAUAUUGGAUGCUGAGAAAUACUCACUACAGAUGAUCAACAGACUGGAAAUACAAGUAUAGUUCGGUUUCUUAAUUAUAAUACUAAAAUUGCAAAAAAUGACAUGAUAUUCUCUAAUCGUUUUCUUCUAGAAAGCAGAUUCCCAUAAGCUAAUAAGGAUGCAAAUCAUUAUUACCUGGAAACGUUACAUCCGUUUUGAUAGACAUUUCCAGCUACUUCUCAACGUAAGUAUCUGUGAAAUCGGAGCGCUUGCCAUUCUGAAAUCAACUUCUGCGAAUGCAACAGUAGAAUAAAUGAAUCGCCUGAAAAUGGAGCCAGCAUGCGAAAGCCUUCUGAAUGUCGUCUUCAUCAGGAAAAUGUUGCCUGGCUAGGAAGGAACCAUUUGAAGUGCUAAAACAGGACAAGAGAAUUUUCUAGGAAGCAAACCAUUACUACUUGAAACCAUCCAUCAAAACAGAAGCAGAAUUUCCAAUUUAUCAACGUAAUAAGACUUGGUUAGUGUUACUGAUAUCCUUCAGAAUAAUUGAGGUUGGAUUAGAUUUUGAUGCAUAGUAAUCUUUUGUUCAAUAAAGGGUCCCCAUUUACACUAAAAGUGAGAUUGCUGUCUCCGUUACCACACUUAUUAUGAACCGACAUCUAUUGCGAUGUAUGUUGUGAAAUGCUCACUACAGAUGACAUUGAAAUGUUGGAAAAUCAAGUAUCCUUUCGUUUCUUAUUUAUAAUAUUGAAAUCACAAAGAUGACAUUAUCUAACCAUUUUAUUUGAUUUUCCAGAAAACAUUGAACUGCAAGGAGGCAAACCAUAAUUACUCGUCAACAUCUAUUAAAACGGAUGCAGAAUUUCUAGCUAUUUCUGAAAAUAGAAAAGCGGAGGAACUGAAGCGCGUGCCAUCCCGAGAUCAUCUUUCGUGAGUAGAGGGACCGAACAAAUCAAUCGCCAGAGCAUGGAAUCAACAUGCGACAGCCUUUUGCAUGUCUCCUCGUCACAAGUAAAAUGUUGCCAGGCCAGAAACCUUUUUAAAGUGCAGAAAUGGAACAAGAAAUAUUUCCAGCGACUACUUCAGUUUCUGACAAAUUCUCUACCAGCAAUCUGGGUGAUCGAGAAACUUUUCUCAGAAUGGUAUCGUAGAGAUAACGAUGUAGAAAAAGUUGGAUACCUACUGCUUAUAUUAAAUGUCUUUUUCUGAAUCAAGACAUGUUAUCCAUCCAUGAAGUAAUAAGGGUUUCGUGAUUCCAUAUAGCUUUGGAAUUGACGCCAUUUAUGCUGCAUAUGAAAACAAGUUUUCUGAAGACAUGCGGAGGCAAACUACAUAUAAUUUAUGUGGAAGGUUCUAUCAAGACAGAAGCGGGCUUUCCAGCUAUUUCUCAACACAAAGUUACCUGAAUGAUUCUGAAGCGAUAUCGGCAUGUUGCAAGAAUUUCGGCGUAUCACUCAUCACCAGAAGAUACUGCUUUCUUGGUUCCACACAUGCUCUGAACUGACAGCAACUAAGCUGGAUGCUAUGAAAUACUCUCUACUAAUAUCAAAACAUUG
Molecule: long non-coding RNA, 1625 nt
Organism: Argiope bruennichi
Lineage: Eukaryota; Metazoa; Arthropoda; Arachnida; Araneae; Araneidae
Exons: 7
Source: RefSeq, a predicted model, not a curated record